This 459-nucleotide ribosomal RNA is filed under the name Latastia longicaudata. RNAcentral's name for it is "partial 12S small subunit ribosomal RNA". It matches the Rfam family "Bacterial small subunit ribosomal RNA", at positions 794 to 1482 of the family's 1533-position model. The record is from RNAcentral. Lineage: Eukaryota; Metazoa; Chordata; Lepidosauria; Squamata; Lacertidae.
GCUAAGCCAUUAACAUUGAUAGUUAAAUUACAAUACUAUCCGCCAGAGAACUACGAGUGAAAAACUUAAAACUCAAAGGACUUGGCGGUGUCCCAUAUCAAACUAGAGGAGCCUGUCCUAUAAUCGAUACUCCCCGCUCCACCCAACCUUAACUAGCACUACCAGCCUAUAUACCGCCGUCGACAGCCUACCCCAUGAGGGCUCAAUAGUAGGCAUAAUAGUAAUUUUUACUAAUACGUCAGGUCAAGGUGUAGCUCAUGUUAAGGAAGAGAUUGGCUACAUUUUUAAAUCUUAAACAUACGGAAUGCACUAUGAAAUCCUGCAUAAAGGCGAAUUUAGCAGUAAAAAAGACAAGAGUGUCUUCUUAAACCCUGCUCUGGGACGCGCACACACCGCCCGUCACCCUCCUCGACACACAAACUUAAACUAAAUAAACAGUCUUAGAACAUCAGAGGAGGC